UUCGGCUCCCGCUAUCGGAUGAGGCCUAUGUCGGAUUAGCUGGUUGGUGAGGUAAAGGCUCACCAAGGGCGACGAUCCGUAGCUGGUCUGAGAGGAUGAUCAGCCACAUCGGGACUGAGACACGGCCCGAACUCCUACGGGAGGCAGCAGUGGGGAAUAUUGGACAAUGGGGGGAACCCUGAUCCAGCCAUGCCGCGUGUGUGAAGAAGGCCCUCGGGUUGUAAAGCACUCUCAGUGAGGAAGAACGCCUGGUGGUUAAUACCCAUCAGGAAAGACAUCACUCACAGAAGAAGCACCGGCUAACUCCGUGCCAGCAGCCGCGGUAAUACGGAGGGUGCGAGCGUUAAUCGGAAUUACUGGGCGUAAAGCGCGCGUAGGUGGCUUGAUAAGCCGGUUGUGAAAGCCCCGGGCUCAACCUGGGAACGGCAUCCGGAACUGUCAAGCUAGAGUGCAGGAGAGGAAGGUAGAAUUCCCGGUGUAGCGGUGAAAUGCGUAGAGAUCGGGAGGAAUACCAGUGGCGAAGGCGGCCUUCUGGACUGACACUGACACUGAGGUGCGAAAGCGUGGGUAGCAAACAGGAUUAGAUACCCUGGUAGUCCACGCCGUAAACGAUGUCGACCAGCCGUUGGGUGCCUAGCGCACUUUGUGGCGAAGUUAACGCGAUAAG
RNAcentral lists this ribosomal RNA (667 nucleotides) under uncultured Halomonas sp. RNAcentral's name for it is "bacterial SSU rRNA". It matches the Rfam family "Bacterial small subunit ribosomal RNA", at positions 209 to 864 of the family's 1533-position model. Lineage: Bacteria; Pseudomonadati; Pseudomonadota; Gammaproteobacteria; Oceanospirillales; Halomonadaceae. The record is from RNAcentral.